GCCUGGCUGGCUCAGUCAGUGGAGCGUGCGACUCUUGAUCUCAGGGUGUGAGUUUGAGCCCCACAUUGGGCG
This 72-nucleotide transfer RNA is filed under the name Felis catus (domestic cat). It matches the Rfam family "tRNA". Rfam says of the family: Transfer RNA (tRNA) molecules are approximately 80 nucleotides in length. Their secondary structure includes four short double-helical elements and three loops (D, anti-codon, and T loops). Further hydrogen bonds mediate the characteristic L-shaped molecular structure. tRNAs have two regions of fundamental functional importance: the anti-codon, which is responsible for specific mRNA codon recognition, and the 3' end, to which the tRNAs corresponding amino acid is attached (by aminoacyl-tRNA synthetases). tRNAs cope with the degeneracy of the genetic code in two manners: having more than one tRNA (with a specific anti-codon) for a particular amino acid; and 'wobble' base-pairing, i.e. permitting non-standard base-pairing at the 3rd anti-codon position. The record is from Rfam by way of RNAcentral. RNAcentral also lists the same sequence under 3 other names. Lineage: Eukaryota; Metazoa; Chordata; Mammalia; Carnivora; Felidae.